GACGAACGCUGGCGGCGUGCUUAACACAUGCAAGUCGAACGGUGAAGCCCUUCGGGGUGGAUCAGUGGCGAACGGGUGAGUAACACGUGAGCAACCUGCCCCUGGCUCUGGGACAACCACUGGAAACGGUGGCUAAUACCGGAUACGACCCGCCUCGGCAUCGAGUGUGGGUGGAAAGUUUUUCGGCUGGGGAUGGGCUCGCGGCCUAUCAGCUUGUUGGUGAGGUGAAGGCUCACCAAGGCGACGACGGGUAGCCGGCCUGAGAGGGCGACCGGCCACAGGGGGACUGAGAAACGCCCCGGACUCCGACGGGGGGCAGCAGUGGGAAAUAUUGCACAUGGGGCGAAAGCCUGAUGCAGCGACGCCGGGUGGGGGAGGAGGGCUUGCGGUUUGAAAACCUCUUUCACCUCCGAAGAAGGGAAAGUGACGUUAGGAGAAAAAGAAGCCCCGGCUAACUACGUG
RNAcentral lists this ribosomal RNA (462 nucleotides) under uncultured bacterium. RNAcentral's name for it is "partial 16S ribosomal RNA". It matches the Rfam family "Bacterial small subunit ribosomal RNA", at positions 28 to 507 of the family's 1533-position model. The record is from RNAcentral.